This 253-nucleotide unclassified non-coding RNA is filed under the name uncultured Halomonadaceae bacterium. RNAcentral's name for it is "contains 16S-23S intergenic spacer region". It matches the Rfam family "Bacterial small subunit ribosomal RNA", at positions 524 to 776 of the family's 1533-position model. The record is from RNAcentral. Lineage: Bacteria; Pseudomonadati; Pseudomonadota; Gammaproteobacteria; Oceanospirillales; Halomonadaceae.
UACGGAGGGUGCGAGCGUUAAUCGGAAUUACUGGGCGUAAAGCGUGCGUAGGCGGCUUGAUAAGCCGGUUGUGAAAGCCCCGGGCUCAACCUGGGAACGGCAUCCGGAACUGUCAGGCUAGAGUGCAGGAGAGGAAGGUAGAAUUCCCGGUGUAGCGGUGAAAUGCGUAGAGAUCGGGAGGAAUACCAGUGGCGAAGGAGGCGUUCUGGACUGACACUGCCGCUGAGGUACGAAAGCGUGGGUAGCAAAAAGG